This 293-nucleotide ribosomal RNA is filed under the name uncultured bacterium. RNAcentral's name for it is "partial 16S ribosomal RNA". It matches the Rfam family "Archaeal small subunit ribosomal RNA", at positions 455 to 747 of the family's 1478-position model. The record is from RNAcentral.
GUGCCAGCCGCCGCGGUAAUACCGGCAGCCCGAGUGAUGGCCGAUCUUAUUGGGCCUAAAGCGUCCGUAGCUGGCUGCGCAAGUCCGUCGGGAAAUCCACGUGCUUAACACGUGGGCGACCGGCGAAAACUGUGCGGCUUGGGACCGGAAGAUCCAAGGGGUACGUCCGGGGUAGGAGUGAAAUCCCGUAAUCCUGGACGGACCACCGAUGGCGAAAGCACCUUGGAAGGACGGAUCCGACAGUGAGGGACGAAAGCUAGGGUCUCGAACCGGAUUAGAUACCCCGGUAGUCC